Molecule: ribosomal RNA, 544 nt
Filed under: uncultured eukaryote
Lineage: Eukaryota
Also listed under: 1 other name
Description: SSU rRNA
Rfam family: Eukaryotic small subunit ribosomal RNA
Source: RNAcentral
AUAUUAAAGUUGUUGCAGUUAAAAAGCUCGUAGUUGGAUUUCUGGUAGGAGCGGCCGAUCCGCCCCGUUAGGGGUGUGCAUUAGCGCUGUCUCUGGCCAUCCUUGGGGGAACUGCGCGGGGAGACUUGCGUUCGGGAACCCAUCGUUUACUGUGAAAAAAUUAGAGUGUUUAAAGCAGGCUUAUGCCGUUGAAUACAUUAGCAUGGAAUAAUAAGAUAGGACCGCGUGGUCGUCUUGUUGGUUUGCACCGCGAGGUAAUGAUUAAUAGGUACAGUUGGGGGUAUUCGUAUUUAAUUGUCAGAGGUGAAAUUCUUGGAUUUAUGAAAGACGAACUUCUGCGAAAGCAUUUACCAAGGAUGUUUUCAUUAAUCAAGAACAAAAGUUAGGGGAUCGAAGAUGAUUAGAUACCAUCGUAGUCUUAACCAUAAACUAUGCCGACUAGGGAUUGGCGGUCGUUUCUUUUGACCCCGUCAGCACCUUAUGAGAAAUCAAAGUCUUUGGGUUCCGGGGGGAGUAUGGUCGCAAGGCUGAAACUUAAAGGAAU